Molecule: ribosomal RNA, 274 nt
Filed under: Ixodes persulcatus (taiga tick)
Lineage: Eukaryota; Metazoa; Arthropoda; Arachnida; Ixodida; Ixodidae
Description: partial large subunit ribosomal RNA
Source: RNAcentral
UAUACAAAGGUAUUGAAAUAAGAUUUUAAAUGAGUGCUAAGAGAAUGAUUGAACAAUUAUAGGCUUUCUUUAGUUAAAUAAUUAAAUUUAAUUUUUUUAGUGCAAAAGCAAAAAUUAAAUUUAGGGACAAGAAGACCCUAUGAAUUUUAAUUUAAUUUAUAAUUUGAAAUUUUAAAUUAAAUUUGAUUGGGGCGAUGGAAAAAGAAUGAGUAUCUUUUUUAGUUKUAAAAAUUGGUUCCGUUUUUAACGAUUAAAUGAGAAAAAUACUCUAGGG